This 128-nucleotide small RNA is filed under the name Rhizobium etli. Its description in RNAcentral is "miscellaneous other RNA". Lineage: Bacteria; Pseudomonadati; Pseudomonadota; Alphaproteobacteria; Hyphomicrobiales; Rhizobiaceae. The record is from RNAcentral. RNAcentral also lists the same sequence under 1 other name.
AAUCACCGCUAUUGCAGGGGUGCCGGGCGGCGAGGCCAUCGCGGGUGCGGCUGCGAUCGUCGUGCGGGUGCGCCAAAAAAAAUCCGAUUACAGCCUGUCGGAACGGACGCCGCCCAGACGUCCUCGAA